CAUGUCCUUACAAAUGCCCCUAAGCAAGGUAUGUUUGUCACAUCUACCCCUCUUUUUGCCCUGUCAGGUAAUACUUUAAAUUUGCCCCCGCACGUAAUACAAUCUAUUUCUGCUACCUUGCGUAUUAACCCUCUCUUUCUGUCCCCUUUCUCGUUCCUAUCUAACCCCUAAACAUUCCUUUCUUUCUGCUCCCUUUCUUGUUUCUGUCCCACUCUUAAUACUCCUCUCUUUUGGUCCCCACAUGUAAUAACCUGUUU
Non-coding RNA from Pelobates cultripes (western spadefoot toad), 257 nucleotides. NCBI's taxonomy places the organism in Eukaryota, Metazoa, Chordata, Amphibia, Anura, Pelobatidae. The record is from the annotation of a GenBank genome assembly.